RNAcentral lists this ribosomal RNA (642 nucleotides) under uncultured bacterium. Its description in RNAcentral is "bacterial SSU rRNA". It matches the Rfam family "Bacterial small subunit ribosomal RNA", at positions 188 to 848 of the family's 1533-position model. The record is from RNAcentral.
GCAUGAUUCAGUGUGAAAAGCCCUGGCAGUAUAGGAUGGUCCCGCGUCUGAUUAGCUGGUUGGUGAGGUAACGGCUCACCAAGGCGACGAUCAGUAGCCGGCUUGAGAGAGUGAACGGCCACAUUGGGACUGAGACACGGCCCAAACUCCUACGGGAGGCAGCAGUGGGGAAUAUUGCACAAUGGGGGAAACCCUGAUGCAGCGACGCCGCGUGAGUGAAGAAGUAUUUCGGUAUGUAAAGCUCUAUCAGCAGGGAAGAAAACAGACGGUACCUGACUAAGAAGCCCCGGCUAACUACGUGCCAGCAGCCGCGGUAAUACGUAGGGGGCAAGCGUUAUCCGGAAUUACUGGGUGUAAAGGGUGCGUAGGUGGCAUGGUAAGUCAGAAGUGAAAGCCCGGGGCUUAACCCCGGGACUGCUUUUGAAACUGUCAUGCUGGAGUGCAGGAGAGGUAAGCGGAAUUCCUAGUGUAGCGGUGAAGUGCGUAGAUAUUAGGAGGAACACCAGUGGCGAAGGCGGCUUACUGGACUGUCACUGACACUGAUGCACGAAAGCGUGGGGAGCAAACAGGAUUAGAUACCCUGGUAGUCCACGCCGUAAACGAUGAGUACUAGGUGUCGGGGCCGUAGAGGCUUCGGUGCCG